This 226-nucleotide long non-coding RNA is filed under the name Lathyrus oleraceus (garden pea). RNAcentral describes it as "Pisum sativum (pea) long non-coding RNA (PSAT_LNC030594)". The record is from RNAcentral. Lineage: Eukaryota; Viridiplantae; Streptophyta; Magnoliopsida; Fabales; Fabaceae.
AUCAGGAUACGGACAGCCAAUCGCUGGGCUUACAUCCAUAUCCUGACACACAAGAACAAACAAGCAACAAGUCGCUAAGGAGUCAGGCACUCGAGCCUAGCAACUGUCAAGCAAACACACAAAAAAAAGAAAAAAAGUGUCUGGAGAGACCUCGCGCGGUCUCCUGCCUACGUACCUCAUCUGGUAUGAGGAUCAGGGCGACGUAGUUCCCCCCAACGGGGGAGAA